RNAcentral lists this small nucleolar RNA (142 nucleotides) under Malurus cyaneus samueli. Its description in RNAcentral is "Small nucleolar RNA SNORD94 (ENSMCSG00000000003.1)". It matches the Rfam family "Small nucleolar RNA SNORD94". Rfam says of the family: The members of this family belong to the C/D class of snoRNAs which contain the C (UGAUGA) and D (CUGA) box motifs. The record is from Rfam by way of RNAcentral. Lineage: Eukaryota; Metazoa; Chordata; Aves; Passeriformes; Maluridae.
AUGGCAGUGAUGAUUGGCGCAGGGGUACGGACCUCAGCUGGAUCAUGGGAGCUGAAUGCAAACUGGUAACUCCAGUGCAGUUGGCAUGUGGCUGGCUCUCUGGAAACAGGUUUGCAUGAGACUUUGCCAAAAACUGAGCCAU